This 155-nucleotide non-coding RNA is filed under the name Elusimicrobia bacterium RIFOXYC2_FULL_34_12. Its description in RNAcentral is "6S RNA". It matches the Rfam family "6S / SsrS RNA". From Rfam's summary of the family: E. coli 6S RNA was the first non coding RNA to be sequenced, but its function was unknown until recently. RNAcentral also lists the same sequence under 2 other names. The record is from RNAcentral. Lineage: Bacteria; Pseudomonadati; Elusimicrobiota.
UUUUCCCUGCGUUGUUGGUGAUGAAUAGGCUGUUUUGAGCUUACAAGCACAAUUUUGGGAAUCUGCGUUCUCUAUAACUUUGGUUAUAGGACAGGAUACCCACUUAGAAAUUAGUGCUUUAAACAUCUUAUUUAAACGGCAAUCGCGGGGAUUUU